AAAUGCGAUAACUAGUGUGAAUUGCAGAAUUCCGUGAAUCAUCGAGUCUUUGAACGCACAUUGCGCCCCCUGGUAUUCCGGGGGGCAUGCCUGUCCGAGCGUCAUUGCUGCCCAUCAAGCACGGCUUGUGUGUUGGGUCGUCGUCCCCUCUCCGGGGGGGACGGGCCCCAAAUGCAGCGGCGGCACCGCGUCCGAUCCUCGAGCGUAUGGGGCUUUGUCACCCGCUCUGUAGGCCCGGCCGGCGCUUGCCGAACGCAAAUCAAUCUUUUUCCAGGUUGACCUCGGAUCAGGUAGGGAUACCCGCUGAACUUAAGC
Molecule: unclassified non-coding RNA, 315 nt
Filed under: plant metagenome
Description: partial contains 5.8S ribosomal RNA, internal transcribed spacer 2, and large subunit ribosomal RNA
Rfam family: 5.8S ribosomal RNA (bases 1-104)
Source: RNAcentral